RNAcentral lists this long non-coding RNA (482 nucleotides) under Numida meleagris (helmeted guineafowl). Its description in RNAcentral is "lncRNA (ENSNMEG00000019177.1)". The record is from RNAcentral. Lineage: Eukaryota; Metazoa; Chordata; Aves; Galliformes; Numididae.
CUUAACAGAAAAUUAAGUUUAAAACUAUAAAAUUGAAAUACAACACUGAUAGAAGUAAUUUCUUGUUUACAGGUAUCAGCUAUUAGAAUGGAGCAUGUGGAUGAUUUGUUGACAUUAUGCAAACAGCAUGGAAUAGCAGUCAUUCAUCUGUAGUACUGUUUUAAGCAUGAAGAUUCAGACUCCCAUCUUUUUAGGAGAUAGCACAGGCCAGCCAGUUCAGGAAAGAAUUCAAUGCUUUGCAGAUGGAUGGAUGUUAAAAUGUGUGCAAAUGAAAUGUACAGUGCAGUCUCCGAGAAGCCGAUCAGUUUGUGUAUUCUGUAUAUACUGCUUCAGUGCAUGCUGAAGGCUGAAUCUAUAGGUUGAAUAGAAUUGAUUUUCAUAGAAGCAAUGUUUUACUGCUGUUUUUCUUGUGGUGAUUCUUCUAGCUUUGUUUAGAGAUCUUCAUAGAAAAUAUUUGAUUAAUAAAGAGCCGUGCAAUAUCA